AGUUAAAAAGCUCGUAGUUGAAUUUCUGGUCGCGAAAGGUGGUCCGUUCCUCACGGAAUGUGUACUGUCCAUUCGUGUCCAUUCUCGGAGUUAGUUUGUAUUACCUUAACCGGUCGUGCAUACAACCUUCGUCAUUUACUGUGAGCAAAAUAGAGUGUUCAAAGCAGGCUUAUGCCGUUGAAUAUAUUAGCAUGGAAUAAUAAGAUAUGACUUUGGUCUAUUUUGUUGGUUUGCACUCCAAAGUAAUGAUUAAUAGGGAUAGUUGGGGGUAUUCGUAUUCAAUUGUCAGAGGUGAAAUUCUUGGAUUUAUGGAAGACGAACUACUGCGAAAGCAUUUACCAAGGAUGUUUUCAUUAAUCAAGAACGAAAGUUAGGGGAUCGAAGAUGAUUAGAUACCAUCGUAGUCUUAACCAUAAACUAUGCCGACUAGGGAUUGGUGGUGUUUGUAAUGACUCCAUCAGCACCUUAUGAGAAAUCAAAGUCUUUGGGUUCCGGGGGGAGUAUGGUCGCAAGGCUGAAACUUAAAGAAAUNGACGGAAGGGCACCACCAGGAGUGGAGCCUGCGGCUUAAUUGA
Molecule: ribosomal RNA, 575 nt
Filed under: uncultured eukaryote
Lineage: Eukaryota
Description: SSU rRNA
Rfam family: Eukaryotic small subunit ribosomal RNA
Source: RNAcentral